This 70-nucleotide transfer RNA is filed under the name Marmota monax (woodchuck). RNAcentral describes it as "tRNA.Asp". The stretch from base 8 to 67 matches the Rfam family "tRNA", at positions 6 to 65 of the family's 71-position model. From Rfam's summary of the family: Transfer RNA (tRNA) molecules are approximately 80 nucleotides in length. Their secondary structure includes four short double-helical elements and three loops (D, anti-codon, and T loops). The record is from RNAcentral. Lineage: Eukaryota; Metazoa; Chordata; Mammalia; Rodentia; Sciuridae.
GCAGAGAUGUAGCUCAGUGGCAGAGUGCUUGCCUAUCAUGCAAGAGGCUCUGUGUUCAAUCCCAGCAGCA